Molecule: transfer RNA, 72 nt
Filed under: Heterocephalus glaber (naked mole-rat)
Lineage: Eukaryota; Metazoa; Chordata; Mammalia; Rodentia; Bathyergidae
Rfam family: tRNA
About the family: Transfer RNA (tRNA) molecules are approximately 80 nucleotides in length. Their secondary structure includes four short double-helical elements and three loops (D, anti-codon, and T loops). Further hydrogen bonds mediate the characteristic L-shaped molecular structure. tRNAs have two regions of fundamental functional importance: the anti-codon, which is responsible for specific mRNA codon recognition, and the 3' end, to which the tRNAs corresponding amino acid is attached (by aminoacyl-tRNA synthetases). tRNAs cope with the degeneracy of the genetic code in two manners: having more than one tRNA (with a specific anti-codon) for a particular amino acid; and 'wobble' base-pairing, i.e. permitting non-standard base-pairing at the 3rd anti-codon position.
Source: Rfam by way of RNAcentral
GUGGGUAUAGCUCAGUGGUAGAGCACUUGCCUAGCAUGCAUGAGUCUCUGGGUUUGAUCCUUGGUACUGAGA